GUUAUAGGGACAAGUGAAUAAGUGCACAUGGCGGAUGCCUUGGCGAUUACAGGCGAUGAAGG
Molecule: ribosomal RNA, 62 nt
Filed under: Pseudoduganella guangdongensis
Lineage: Bacteria; Pseudomonadati; Pseudomonadota; Betaproteobacteria; Burkholderiales; Oxalobacteraceae
Description: partial 23S ribosomal RNA
Source: RNAcentral